This 253-nucleotide ribosomal RNA is filed under the name uncultured bacterium. RNAcentral's name for it is "partial 16S ribosomal RNA". It matches the Rfam family "Bacterial small subunit ribosomal RNA", at positions 524 to 776 of the family's 1533-position model. The record is from RNAcentral.
UACAGAGGUCUCAAGCGUUGUUCGGAUUCAUUGGGCGUAAAGGGUGCGUAGGUGGCGGGGUAAGUCAGGUGUGAAAUUUCGGAGCUUAACUCCGAAACUGCAUUUGAUACUGCCUUGCUUGAGGACUGGAGAGGAGACUGGAAUUCAUGGUGUAGCAGUGAAAUGCGUAGAGAUCAUGAGGAAGACCAGUGGCGAAGGCGGGUCUCUGGACAGUUCCUGACGCUGAGGCACGAAGGUCAGGGGAGCAAACGGG